Molecule: ribosomal RNA, 254 nt
Filed under: uncultured bacterium
Lineage: Bacteria
Description: partial 16S ribosomal RNA
Rfam family: Bacterial small subunit ribosomal RNA
Source: RNAcentral
UACGAAGGGGGCUAGCGUUGCUCGGAAUGACUGGGCGUAAAGGGCGCGUAGGCGGUCGGCUUAGUCAGGCGUGAAAGUCCUGGGCUUAACCUGGGGACGGCGCUUGAUACGGGCUGCCUUGAGUGGGGAAGAGGGCCGUGGAAUUCCCAGUGUAGAGGUGAAAUUCGUAGAUAUUGGGAAGAACACCGGUGGCGAAGGCGGCGGCCUGGUCCUUUUACUGACGCUGAGGCGCGAAAGCGUGGGGAGCAAACAGG